Molecule: non-coding RNA, 277 nt
Filed under: Pongo abelii (Sumatran orangutan)
Lineage: Eukaryota; Metazoa; Chordata; Mammalia; Primates; Hominidae
Source: RNAcentral
UCAGCAGAUGGGAAAUCUGGAAUACUUUGUUUCUAGAGAGAUGUUCUGCGUUAGAGAACAAGCAGAGGCUGCAGGGAAGGUGUGGUUUAUGUAUUUACAAUGCGAGAGGACAUGUGGAAGUUCCCUUGUUAUGUCGCCUCACAAGGAAUAAAGGCAACAGGAUGAGGACAGCAGGACUCAGAAGCACAAGCAACAGGAGACAUGAUCAAUGGGACUGGAUCAAAACUGGAAACAUUCGGUGUCCUUCAAAGGACACCAUCAGGAAAGUGAAAAGACA